UACGGGGGGGGCAAGCGUUGUUCGGAAUUACUGGGCGUAAAGGGCUCGUAGGUGGCCAACUAAGUCAGACGUGAAAUCCCUCGGCUUAACCGGGGAACUGCGUCUGAUACUGGAUGGCUUGAGUUUGGGAGAGGGAUGCGGAAUUCCAGGUGUAGCGGUGAAAUGCGUAGAUAUCUGGAGGAACACCGGUGGCGAAGGCGGCAUCCUGGACCAACACUGACGCUGAGUGAGCGAAAGCAAGGGGAGCAAACGGG
This 254-nucleotide ribosomal RNA is filed under the name uncultured bacterium. RNAcentral's name for it is "partial 16S ribosomal RNA". It matches the Rfam family "Bacterial small subunit ribosomal RNA", at positions 524 to 776 of the family's 1533-position model. The record is from RNAcentral.